UUUUUUUUUUUUUUUUUUUUUUUUUUCAUGCUUUGUGGCAGCUUUACGGUGUGUUCACACUGAACGCGAUAGAGGCGGCCAGAGCGUCAGGUUUACAUGUAAAGUCAAUGGAAAGAGCGCGAUGACACGCGAUUGCGCGUCCAGCGAAAAUUCGGAGGCAGAUUUGCGUCGCGAAAACGCCUGAAACGCGCGUCAGUGUACCGCGUCUGGCGCGUUUGACUCGCGAAAAAAACCACGCGCGUGAAUUUUUGUGUUGCAUUUUGUGCAUACGCGUGUUUCGCCUCUACCGCUCGAGUUGGAAAAUCUGAACUCCAGCGUCAAAUCGCGCCGCGACAACCAAUCAGGAGCCUGGUGAUGUGGCUGUGACCUAGGUCAAAGGGGCAGAUCCAGCCAAAGCCCUUCAUUCUUUAAUGGAGGGAAGGCUAAUCAACGCCGUAGCAAACAACCCGGAGCUGUACGACACCAGCUGCUUUGUGUACCGAGACAGGAAUAUAAAGGACCGAGCUUGGAGGAAGAAAUGUGAAGAGAUCGGGCAACCUGAACCAACUGAUUCUGCAGCAGAGCAUCCCCUGUUGCUUCUCCUUGCUCCCCAGCUCCUGCUGCUGCACCCACAGGCCCAGAGAGGAGGACAGCUCCGAGGCAGAUGAGGGACUGGUCCCAGGACGGUCCAUCGGCGGUGGAGCUGGCCAUCCUGGUGUCCCUGAAGAGGCCACGCCAGUCUCCAAUGGAGCAUUUCCUCCUCAGCCUUGUUCCUGCUCUGGAGAGCAGCUGGGUCCUUUUUAUUCCUGUCUCUCUGUUAAUACUUAUAUUCUAUAUAUUUAUGUUUAAUGUUUUUCUGUUUGAGAAUUUUAAUAUUAUUUCAAAUAAAUUUUUAUAAUGACUAAUGUCUCAGUUCUACUACACAGCAAAUGUUGGCACACGACUUGACACAUGUAGAAUUUAUUUCAUAUUAUACUAAUGACAGAAUAUACUAAUACAGUGGGAUGCAAAAGUUUGGGCAACCUUGUUAAUAGCCAUUAUUUUCCUGUAUAAAUCGUUGGUUGUUACAAUAAAAAAUGUCAGUUAAAUAUAUCAUACAGGAGACACACACAGUGAUAUUUGAGAAGUGAAAAGAAGUUUACUGGAUUUACAAAAAGUGUGCAAUAAUUGUUUAAACAAAAUCAAGCAGGUGCAUAAAUUUGGGCACCACAAAAAAAGAAAUGGAAUAAAUAUUUCGUGUAUAUCAAUGUGUGUGUCUCCUAUGUGAUAUAUGGGGUGCCUUUGUCUGGACGUGUUUCCCAUCCAGAGCUCCACAGCAGAGAGGAAAGUUCCAGCACUCCUGGAAUCCCUCUGUGAUGGACCGCCAGUCUCCAGGUGAAGGCACAGCCAUGAAGUCGUCCACUAGACAGUCCCAGAUGGCCGUCGCUACCUGGGGGGUGAUCUGGCACACCGUGGACACACCGACUCUAAAACUGAACGCAAUGGUCCUG
This is a long non-coding RNA of Oreochromis aureus, 1469 nucleotides long. NCBI's taxonomy places the organism in Eukaryota, Metazoa, Chordata, Actinopteri, Cichliformes, Cichlidae. The record is from Ensembl.